Molecule: transfer RNA, 72 nt
Filed under: Loxodonta africana (African savanna elephant)
Lineage: Eukaryota; Metazoa; Chordata; Mammalia; Proboscidea; Elephantidae
Rfam family: tRNA
About the family: Transfer RNA (tRNA) molecules are approximately 80 nucleotides in length. Their secondary structure includes four short double-helical elements and three loops (D, anti-codon, and T loops). Further hydrogen bonds mediate the characteristic L-shaped molecular structure. tRNAs have two regions of fundamental functional importance: the anti-codon, which is responsible for specific mRNA codon recognition, and the 3' end, to which the tRNAs corresponding amino acid is attached (by aminoacyl-tRNA synthetases). tRNAs cope with the degeneracy of the genetic code in two manners: having more than one tRNA (with a specific anti-codon) for a particular amino acid; and 'wobble' base-pairing, i.e. permitting non-standard base-pairing at the 3rd anti-codon position.
Source: Rfam by way of RNAcentral
CCACUGGUGGUUCAGUGGUAGAAUUCUUGCCUCCCAUGCCGGAGACCAGGGUUCAAUUCCCAGGCCAGCGCA